Molecule: long non-coding RNA, 266 nt
Organism: Dipodomys spectabilis (banner-tailed kangaroo rat)
Lineage: Eukaryota; Metazoa; Chordata; Mammalia; Rodentia; Heteromyidae
Exons: 2
Source: RefSeq, a predicted model, not a curated record
GGAAUAGCGCCCGUUGAGCUGAGCCGGCCACCGUACAACACCACAAGACCAGCAAAGAGAAUCGGCGGUCAGGCCAUGCAUUUGGGAGAUGGUUUAAAGUUGGAAACUGAACUGCUGGAUGGAAAAACCAAGAUAAUAUUACCUCUAUAUGGUAUGCUGUGUAACUGGAAAUUUAAAAUAUUGACUUCAAAAUUCCUACAUAAAAUUUAUGAUAUUUAGCAAUAUUAUUUACUUGAAAUAAAGUGAUAUUUAGAUACAUUGAAAAA